CAAGAAAGAGGUUCGGCGAUAUUUUAUAUUUUUGAUUCCGGAGGCGUACGCGGGAGCAUAAACAUGUAACUUUUAGUGCCAUUACAUAGCUCAGUAAAAUAAUCCACCUCUAAUUAUGAGCUUGUGCACAACCCUCGUGGGUAUCCUGUAUAUAUUCUUUGCGUGCGGUAAGCACCUUUAUACUCUGGAAUCGGAAUACCUAUGUAUUCACGUUGUGGACUUUAAGAGUCACCAGCACCCUUACAUAAACCCCUUGAGAGGUUUUAAUUGCUGUAUUUGUUUAAAAGCGAUGGUGGUUUUGAAAUGGCAGUGCACAUCGAGUUAAAACACACACUUAAUUACUUUUACACUUUACCGCCAGUGUUAUCAUAAUGUUAUAAUAAUGUCCUGUCUUGUCUUUUGACCCCCAAAACGCUCAAACCCCCACUAAAACUAAGCGGACAUUGUUUGUAUUGUACAAAUAAACGAACGGUUUACCCCAAUAAUAAAAAA
This is a long non-coding RNA of Eupeodes corollae, 492 nucleotides long. RefSeq lists it as uncharacterized. Lineage: Eukaryota; Metazoa; Arthropoda; Insecta; Diptera; Syrphidae. The transcript has 2 exons. The record is from RefSeq and is a predicted model, not a curated record.